GGGCACCUGCGGGCUUCGCCGCCGCGCUCCCCUCCCUCGCCGGGACCGGCCGGCCCCGCCUUCUGCAGGGGCCGGGCGAUGGGCGGACGAGGGGACCGGCCGCUUAAAAGCGAGGCACGGCCGGGCGUGGGCUGCCUCUGCCCGCGUCACCGAGUCAGCUCGGUCCCGCCAGGCGGAGGACGCGCCUGGGAGCGAGGGCGCGCGGGGUGCCCGGACCCCAGAGUGCUCAUCGCGGACCUGGAUACCUGGGAGCAGGACCGGGGAGCUAAGAGACGCCCGCAGCGCCUUAGACACAUGGGGGAACCGAGGCUCCGGCGGAGAGAGGACUUGAUUAUCUUGGUUUUAAAAAGCGGCACUCCUGGCUAAGUGCAAAUCAGGACCUGCGCUUCUUUGAGACUCAUAGCCUAAGUUGAAAUUAUUUCGCUGGAUGGGUGGAGACCCCGAGAGGACACGGAGAGGACCAGAGCCUGGCCUGAAGUCAGAACCGGAGUCACUCGCAGGGCUAAGACUUGGACCCCCCUCUACCAAACUCAUAAAUUAUCAGGCGGGGCCCCUUCCUCGCAAAGACCAGGGACCGCAGUGUGUUGGAAACAUUAGGGAGGUAAACUCCUCCCGGACACCCCUUCUAGUGCCCUUUUGUCCUCCUUGUCGCUGGGGCUCUUGGUGUGAAAUCUGGAACUGAUGUGACAUCCAGCAUUGGAUUCAGCAGAAGUCUUGUCCUAAAAGGUGUGGAAUCUUUUGACCUAGAAAUCCCUAAGAGCUACUUUAAAAUAGAAGGACAUGAGGAAUGCACUCCACCUGGCUUGGCCUGGAAGCAGGACGUGAGAGGAGAAUCCUAGACCAGUUGCCUUGAGGAAUGAAGAGCCGCUGUGUGUGUCCUCCAGUCUGAUUGACCUGCUCAGGGAGGCGAAACCUCUCUCCAGAAAUGCCUUUGAAAAGCGAAGAGCAGGACGGCCUUUCCGCCAAGGACUCGGUCGAAGGCGGCGUCCAGUCUCGUCCGUCCAGCAUCCACCUGGAGCACGAAGAGGAGGCGGGCGCUGACCUCAAGCCGCUGGAGACGGACGAGCCGCGCAGCCCUCGUCCCAGGAUCUGCUUGGAGCCUCGGGAGAGACGCAGUGCCAGCCUCGGGCAGGCUGUCCUCAGGAGGCUGCGGAAGAGCUGCCAGUGCAGUCAGGCCAAAGCCAAAAACAAGAUCCUGGGUUUCUUUCCUGUGUUGCGAUGGCUCCCAAAGUACAACCUGAAGAAGAACCUCUUGGGAGACGCCAUGUCCGGCCUGAUCGUGGGCAUCUUGCUGGUGCCGCAGUCCAUCGCCUACUCCCUCCUGGCCGCCCAGGAGCCCGUCUACGGCCUGUACACCUCCUUCUUUGCCAGCAUCAUCUACUUUCUCCUGGGGACGUCCCGGCACAUCUCUGUGGGCAUCUUCGGAGUGCUGUGCCUCAUGAUCGGUGAAGUGGUCGACCGGGAACUAGCCAGAGCCGGCUAUGACGCGGCCCACGCCCCUGCCGCCCUAGGCGUGCUUUCCAACGGGAGCUCGGCGUUCAAUCAGACGGCAGACAAGACCUGCGACAAAAAUUGCUACGCCAUCGCCGUUGGCAGCACUGUGACCUUCAUGGCCGGAGUCUAUCAGGUGGCCAUGGGCUUCUUCCAGGUGGGCUUCGUGUCCGUCUACCUCUCGGACGCCUUGCUGAGCGGCUUUGUCACCGGCGCCUCGUUCACUAUCCUCACGUCGCAGGCCAAGUACCUCCUCGGCCUCCGGCUUCCUCGGAGUCACGGCCCCGGCUCCCUCGUCACCACCUGGAGCCACAUCUUCAGGAACAUCCAUCAGACCAACCUCUGUGACCUCCUCACCAGCCUCUUGUGCCUUUUGGUUCUUCUGCCCACCAAGGAGCUUAACGAGCGCUUCAAGUCCAAGCUUAAGGCACCCAUUCCCACGGAACUCUUCGUGGUCGUGGCGGCCACCUUGGCGUCGCAUUUCGGGAGGCUGCACGACAGGUACGGCACCAGCAUCGCCGGGCCCAUUCCCACCGGCUUCCUGCCGCCCCGCGCGCCGGACUGGAGCCUCGUCCCCAGGGUGGCGGCGGACGCCGUGGCCAUCUCCGUCAUCGGCUUCGCCAUCACCGUGUCCCUCUCCGAGAUGUUCGCCAAGAAGCACGGCUACGCGGUCCGCGCCAACCAGGAGAUGUACGCCAUCGGCUUCUGCAACAUCAUCCCCUCCUUCUUCCACUGCUUCACCACCAGCGCCGCGCUGGCGAAGACGCUGGUCAAGGAAUCCACGGGCUGCCAGACGCAGGUCUCGGGGGUGGUGACGGCGCUGGUCCUGUCGCUGGUCCUCUUGGUGGUGGCGCCCUUGUUCUACUCCCUGCAGAAGAGCGUGCUGGGGGUGAUCACGAUUGUGAACCUCCGAGGGGCCCUGCUCAAGUUCAAGGACCUGCCCGCCAUGUGGCGGGUCAGCCGGAUGGACACGGUGAUCUGGUGGGUCACCAUGCUGUCCUCGGCGCUCAUCAGCACCGAGCUGGGCCUGCUCAUCGGCGUGUGUUUCUCCAUGUUUUGUGUCAUCCUUCGCACUCAGAAGCCCCAGGCCUCGCUGCUCGGCUGGGUGGAGGGGUCCGAAACCUUCGAAUCCACGGCUGCCUACAGGGGCCUCCAGGCCAAGCCCGGCGUCAAGGUGUUCCGCUUCGCGGCCCCGCUCUACUACAUAAACAAAGAGUACUUCAAAUCCGCCUUGUACAAGUCCACCCUCAACCCGGUCUUCGCGAAGGCGGCUCAGAAGAAGGCCGCCAAGAGAAAGAGGAGAAAGGGGGCGGCAGCCCGGGGCGGGGCCCAGGACGACGUGGCCGUGCAGCUCUCCCCCGACCCCCCGGAGCUGCACACGCUGGUGGUUGACUGCAGCGCGGUGCAGUUUGUGGACACGGCGGGGAUCCAGACGCUGAGAGAGGUGCGCAGGGACUACGAAGCCGUCGGCGUCCGGGUGCUGCUGGCUCAGUGCAACCCGUCUGUGAGGGCGUCCCUGGCCCAGGGAGAGUACUGCCGGGAGGAAGAGGAAAACCUUCUUUUUCACAGUGUCUUUGAAGCCGUGAGUUUUGCAGAAGCCGUGGAAAAUCAGAAAGGAGUGAGUGUUCCCAAUGGGCUGAGUUUUUCCAGCGGCUGACUGAGCACGUCCGUCGCCCGAGGACGCCGCCCGGCCGUGGGGACAGGGGCAGGCGUGCCGCAUUGUCUGCCGUGCCACGGGGACGUGGUGAAGUGGCAGCCUCCGGGCUGGACGGUGUUCUCCCUUUGAGGCUGGUGGCCUUCUCGUCCCACACAGCAGCAGAGCUUUUAUUAGUCAGGCGGAAUCAGAAAGAGGAAAAGACUGGUUUCUAGCUUUCUUGUGCAUAUAAGGUAUCCUUGCAACUAAGCCCGUAACCAUUGACUUGAACUGCACAGCAGCCCCCAGACCUAACAACGCCCACCCCGUCUUGGGGGCUGUGUCUCUGGACGCUUCCUUCCUCAGGGGGUCAGGCGUCAAAGCUGGCGUUGAGGGGAGCGUGCUGGGGUCUCUUUCCCACGGCUCCUGGGGGCGGGGGUGGGGGGGGCAGAAGGGAAGUAGAAGAGCGUCCUGUCUGCUCUCGACACAGCAGGUCCACGGGCUUCUGCGGCGCAAAGAAGCGAUGAGCCGAGCCUGCUGUCCCCCUCCGUUGCCUGCCUUGGCCGCCCAGGUGGCUGCGGCAUCUCUGGCUUUUCACAGGGAAACACGGCUGCCGUCGGGCAGCCUUGGCAGGCGUCUGAGGGGCGAGCAGGCUGCGGGGUCCCGGCGGCCGGCCCCGCUCCGGACGGCACCUCUCAGCAGCGCGUUCCACGCUGUUGUCGUGCCUUUGUGCGUCAGGGACGCAGGGAGGAAGCGCUUCCUAAGCAGCCAGACCCUGAGAUCUCGCCUGUCCUCGCGCCAUCCGGCCCCGUCUGUCACUUGCUGCGCGUUUCUCUGCCGAGAAGCGGGGUUCGCUGGCGGUCGUUUGAGCGCGUGUCCCCUGCAGUCUGUGCUAACCUGCUGCGUCUGAUGGCCCGCGAGUGACAGGUUUGCCAGAGAAACGGCGCAGUGCUGACGCAGCCGUCUCAGGCAGCCUUUUCACCGAGCUUGAGGCGAAGCGUUCAGGCAGGUUGCGAAAAGCCGCGAUGGACGGCUUCCCCUAAGCGUUGGUUUGUUCAGCGGUAACGCGCGUGUCCUUCCCACGGCCCUGCUGCCAAGAGGGUCAGCUGGCCCUCGAGGGUCUCCCCACGUCUGCGACCCUGCCGCCCGUCCUUGCUCCGUAAGAAGGGCGGGUCCGUCCCGUCCAGUGGAGCAGCACGCGCCGGAGCCGGAGCGCCCUCCGGGUCACGGCAGCCCUGAGUUGGGGCCGUUUCGGUGGAGGCGAGGCUGGUGCUUCCUGCCACGAGCCCUUCUCACGUACAGUGAAUUCCGAUGACCGCGGUAGCUCUUCCUUCUCGGGCCUCCCAGCCAGCACGUGAGAGCAUUUAGAAACCUCCCUCCCUACAAGCCACGUUCCGAGGGCGUGUUAUUUACGAGAGCUGGUGCCGGGUUGUGGCCCAGGGACCGUUCCUUUUGAAGAGCAAGGAGGCCUGACUGCGAAAGCUUCCAGUUCUGUCUCUGGAGCUGGACGGGCGAGGGAUAAAGACGGGUUUUCCGGAGUUCAGCUUAAGUGAGGUUGAGGCAUUGAGCCCCUCCACCUUACCCAGGCAAAGUGAAAACUGUGACCGUGCAGAGUCAUUUUGAAUCCGCUCCGACAUCCUAAACAGGUUAAAUGUUCCUGAGAAACAAACCCUGGGCGUAAGGCGUCUGUCGGACGGACCGGGACCUUUCAGCAUCCCACCUGCCUUGUGGCUCCAUGCACUGCAGCGUCGCUUUUCUGCGGGUGGAGCUUGGCCCCCCGUUGACACGGGAAGGCCUUGCUGUUGGGAGGACGGCGGUUUCCCGGGUGCUAAAGGGCCGUCUUGGCGGUGAUGGAGCCCUUGGCUAGAUGUCAUGGUGCCCUUUUAGGACUUAAGGCGGGAUUUCAGAAAGGUUAGCUGCUCUCCGUGGGUUUGUGUUUUGCUUGUUGUUCGUGGUCAGCGUUUCCGCCUUCUCUGCAGUCCCGGGAGUGUCACAGUCACAUCAGAGCGUCCUGGUUGUCAUUCAUGUGCCAUCCCUCCUGUCCCGUCCCCCCCGCCCCCCCCCGAGCAGGCGGGUGCCCACAUCUGAGGCCGUCUGGCAGAGUGACGAGCAGGUGUUAGGAUGAUCCCAUGAUGUAGCAAAUACUGUCGCAGCCAAGACAGAAAGAAAAGGCCAAAGACUUUGGAAAGGCUCUUAGAAGGAGAGUGACUUGGUUUGACCUUUCCCUGACAUUUCUGUCCGUCCCUGGUGUAAACUGUUCUGGAGCCGUACGCAGUCGGCAGGUUCCUGGCUUGUUCUUCUACCCAGACAAGUGCAUACGGGAUUCUGCUUUGGAAAGCUGUUUGUAGGACUUUCGAAGAUUUCCCAAUUUAAACCUCACCUCUGCUUGGUUUGACGUCUGCCUGUACUUACCUGUUAAGAUGUUUUAACUGCUGGUGUUUAAAGGAAUCAAACAGGAGGCCAGAGCCUAAGGCACCCGCGACACCCAUGUCUCCGCCCGUUUUCUUGCUCAAGGAUGUAGACUGGGUUCAACACGGGAUGGUGUACACGCGUGAUGGGUACAGAGACCUCUUGCCCGCGCUGAACUGGCGUCUAAGUGCAGCACGUUCUCAGCACUUGCUGAUAAUGCACAAAACAGUGGCCACGCUGCUGGUGUGAUUGGAAUGGAAGUGCACUCGUGACGGGUAAAGCUCGGAGAAGCAGCGGCGCGGGAUGCGCCUGGGGCUGAGGCGGCGAAGGCUGAGGUUCCGAGGCCGUGCAAAGACCCUCUCCGAGCCACGGAGGGGGAGCAGAGAGGGACCCAGCUGAAUGGGGUCCAGCCGCUGGUCGGCCCCACACCUCAGUUUGAGAGCAAGGUCCCAACUGGAUUCUGAUUCUAGAAGAGGGGGUGCAGGUUGACCAGAGCUGGAAGAGGCGGGGCGCACUGGUACCCAAGGCUGGUGCCGAAGCCGAAGACCCCCCACCUUUUCCGGAGCCCUAGACAGUGACUCUAGCCCCUGACGGUGGUAGGGCUGGCAGGUGUCUAGCUGGCUUUUUUUUCUUUUCUUUUCUUCCCUAAGGAGUGAAGGAAAAGGAGAUUUGGCACCGUCUGUCUUGGCUCUUAAGCAUUAGGAGACACCGAAGCCAGGCUUUGUUGGCAGAUUUACAGCCUGAGCUUGAACCUGGCAGGGUCUGCGGUGAGGUCCUGGGGCUUUUCUCACGGGGUGGCCGCGUUUGAACAGGAAUGGUGAUGCUCUCAGCUGGCGUGGCUGUCCUGGCGCAGCAGAGGCGAGUCUGACUCGUAUCCAUGCGGGGUAUCAGCCGAGUAGCGUGUCUCAGAAGCACAGUGCCUGGGCGAGAGCCCCGGUCUGGGUAGGAAAGGGAGAGAAGGCCGUCGUGCGUCCCGGGGGCGUCACGGGAGCCUGGACGUCGGCAGGAUGAAUGCAGCGGGCUCCGUGGUCCUCGUCGGCGUCCUCCGUCACUUGCUUUCCUCUCCGUCUUGCUGUGCACGAGCCGUGCCUUCAAUGUGCCGACACCUGCUGGGGACCGGCGCGGCCGUCUAGGGCCUGGCCGGGUGCCGGGCCUGCAGCGCUAAAGCCAGCAGGUGGGCCGAGGGUCGCCCUGCUCGUAACGCCCGCGGGCACGUGGAGCUCCUUUCGGGAGGGGCUGAGCUGAGCCUGGGUGGAGGUCUGAGAGGGAGGCAGGCCGCUGAGGCCCAGCGGCAGGCACGGGUGCCCUGGUCCGGGUCUGCUCAGGGAGGGCUCGCAGGCGGCGGGAUGAGAGCCCGAGCCGUGGGACUCGGACUUGGCUUAAUUUUUCUGUUCUUUAGUGCUUCAUUUUUUUUUCUUCUCCUGUUUGAUCCGUUCUCAUGAUGCCUUAUUUGAAACUGGGCUUUAAGAACUGCAAAAAGGGAGCAAACUGGAUCUAGAAAGCUUUAAAGCUCUGAAUGCACUUGCCUUUUUUUUUUGUAUAAGAAUUUUAGAUAAUCAUGAAUCAUUCCUUUGAGUGCUAAGAACGAAAAGGAAAAUUAUAAUGCAGUAGGCCAAAAUAAUAGGCCAGCUGAUUUGGUUAGCAUCGCUAUUACUAAGGUAAAAGACGGAGUUCCCGUCGUGGCUCAGUGGUAACGAACCCGACUAGUAUCCAUGAGGACGUGGGUUCGAUCCCUGGGUUAAGGAUCCGGCGUUGCCGUGAGCCGUAGUGUAGGUCGGAGACCUGGCUCGGAUCUGGCGUUGUUGUGGUUGUAGGCCGGCAGCUGCAGCUCUGAUUCGAACGCUGGCCCGGGAACUUCCUGCAGCAAAAGUGAAAUAGUGCUGAAAUACUAUAAGUAUACAAUUUUAGUGUUUUUUUUUUUUUUUUUUAAUGUUAGUUACUUUAGAAAUGGAGAAUUUAGACAUAGGAGUAGGCAAAUUAUUUUUAUAAGAUCAUUUUUAUCCUGACAAGGACAAUUUUUUAAAGUGUUUGGCACCUGAAAAUAAAUCGUUAGGAGAAUUAGAGAAGCACAUAUCAAAUGGUGGUUUUUUUUCGGUGUGUGUUUUAGUCUUUUCUUGGCGUUGUGAGACAGGAGGGAGGCGUGUGGAUGGAGAGAGCUGGCCAAGGAAGGGCACUGAUGCCUUCCUGGAGAUGCCCUGCUGUACAUCUGCUCUGGAAUCUGUAUAACUUUCUUGGACUUGAAUUAUGGCUCUGAAAUUGGCUGAAGAAUUACGAUCGUAUUAAAAAUACCAAUAGGAGAAUUUCUAACGGAGGGCUUUUUACUUGGCAAACGAACAGCUGGCUUCAGCCAGAGAGGAUUUUUAGCAGCAAUUUUAAGAAGCUCCUUUUAGGGAGGUUCUCCGACGCCACCUCUCCGGUCCGUAAAGUAAUGAGUCGCUUGGAAUGAAACCCUCUUGCCUUGUCAGCUCACAUCCGUUGGAAGUUCCUGGUUGAGUUCUGACACUGCCAUGAUUUGUCAAAAAUUAGUGUGCACGAAUCAGUGUGUAUAAAACUUCCUUUUUGGGUCUCCUUUGCCGUUUCUCAUAUAAGCCCAGGCGAUACCAGCGUGACAGGUGAAGGAACCUAAAAUCCCAGCCUAAGGACACUGCCUUUCUUCGUAGUUAUUCAAGGCUGAUGACUUUGUGGAAUUUGUCUUAUACCACGUAUGUCUUUUUUAAUUAAAGAAAGUGCCUUGAUGCAAUUCCGCUGAAAUCGCGUCUGGCCCCCUGUGGAGUGAGGGUGGGUUCCGGACGGAUUUUGCAGCCUCCGUUGCAGGAGAGGGGAGUCAGUCAGAGGCAGGCCCUGUUCUUCUGAUCUCUGUUGGUGAUGUUUAUCUCAUAAGAUCCUGUAUGUAUUGAGAUUCAGAGAUGUCAUUUCAUUUGUCUGCUAAUAAAUUGUUGCGUUCGU
RNAcentral lists this long non-coding RNA (8479 nucleotides) under Sus scrofa (pig). RNAcentral's name for it is "lncRNA (ENSSSCG00030024868.1)". Lineage: Eukaryota; Metazoa; Chordata; Mammalia; Artiodactyla; Suidae. The record is from RNAcentral.